GAUGAACGCUGGCGGCGUGCCUAAUACAUGCAAGUCGAGCGAACGGACGCGAAGCUUGCUUUUCUGAUGUUAGCGGCGGACGGGUGAGUAACACGUGGAUAACCUACCUAUAAGACUGGGUUAACUUCGGGAAACCGGAGCUAAUACCGGAUUAUAUUUUGUACCGCAUGGUUCAAAAGUGAAAGACGGUCUUGCUGUCACUUAUAGAUGGGUCCGCGCUGCAUUAGCUAGUUGGUAAGGUAACGGCUGACCAAGGCAACGAUGCAUAGCCGACCUGAGAGGGGGAUGGGCCACACUGGAACUGAGACGCGGUCCAGACUCCUACGGGAGGCAGCAGUAGGGAAUCUUCCGCAAUGGGCGAAAGCCUGACGGAGCAACGCCGCGUGAGUGAUGAAGGUCUUCGGAUCGUAGAACUCUGUUAUUAGGGAAGAACAUAUGUGUAAGUAACGUUGCACAUCUGGACGUUACCUAAUCAGAAAGCCACGGCUAACUACGUG
RNAcentral lists this ribosomal RNA (497 nucleotides) under uncultured bacterium. RNAcentral's name for it is "partial 16S ribosomal RNA". It matches the Rfam family "Bacterial small subunit ribosomal RNA", at positions 28 to 507 of the family's 1533-position model. The record is from RNAcentral.